Molecule: long non-coding RNA, 2534 nt
Filed under: Homo sapiens (human)
Lineage: Eukaryota; Metazoa; Chordata; Mammalia; Primates; Hominidae
Description: HSALNT0337691
Source: RNAcentral
ACUUUUGUUGGAGCCUGAAUGCAAGAGCCAUUCUCACUGGGAUGCCACAGCUCUGGAGACUUCUUAUAGAUGUUGUUUGGAACACUCCAGGCUUGGAGAUGGGCCUUUAGACACUGCCUGUAGUACUGCUUAGCAACAGCUCUACAGACAUAAAGAGAUUGCAGUGGCUGCUCCUUCCUGGCUCCACCAUUCAGCAAGAGCUCCACAGAGGAUGAAGAGAUCCUCCUAGCUUGGCGGAAUACUCUGCUCUGAUGGAAGUACCAUCCUGGUCCAAACAUGAAAGAAUUCCCAACAUCAAGAUUGAUUGAAACAUAUUCAAUGGAUCAUUUGCUCCAGAAGAAGCUGGUUGCCAUGUCUUGAGGACAGUAAACCCUCUGGGGAGGUUCCUGUGGUAAGGAACAAGGGCUCCUGGCAAUAGCCUCUGAGUGAGCCACCUUGAAAAUGGAUUGUCCAGCCCCAGUCAAGCUUUCAGAUGACUGUAGCUCCUGCCAAUGUCUUCACCACAACCUCAUGAGAUCCCAAGCUACAACCACUCAGUUAAGUUAUGCCAAAAUUCCUGAUUCACAGAAAUUGACAUACAGGAGAGGUCACAGUUAAGAUCUUGAUGUUCUAUCUUGACCCAUAAUAUAGGAACUUCAUCUUUUGGGAAGCACCAGGGAGAGCUGCCUGUGCCUGGCAGAAGCUGCCCAUGCCCCACUGAUACCCCACAGUACUUCCUGUUCUGCUUAGUACUCCUGCUUCUUUCUACAAACAACUGUGAUUCUCUACCUGGGAGCUUCCUCUGGCCACAGGAGCCUGCUCACCUGAUUGGGACACCCUAGCAGUACUGGUGAUAGAUGCCUGCAUUGACUUUCUUCCCUGCUGUGCCUUUCUUUCCAUUCCCCUGCCAGUGCUUCCUGGAAUCAUCUCCCUCAUCAAUCAUUUGUUCCUAAAUUCUGUCUGAGUCUUUACCAAAAUCAUAGACUUACUGUAAAAUGAUUUUUCAAUUAGUAACUUUUCACCAUAACUUUUUUGGGGUAAUUUAUACCACUUUUUCGAUGACUCUUCUUGUUUAUGCUUUCACCUGAAAACAUACAAACUAAAUAUAAUCUAAAAAUAAUAUUUUUUAUUUUAGACAAGAACACACUCAGAAAUUUUCUCAACACAGUUUCUAUGCAGAGAAGAGAUGUGGGACAGAUUUGAACUGCUGUCAUAUUUGUAUGAACCCAAGACAUUUUCCAAGACCAAGAGGGAUAAAGACAGCAAUUUCUAUGACUGGCAUUUUACGUGCAUGCACUGUUUCCAAGUGUUCUUGUGUUCUGUGCCUUAAACAUUCUGUGUUGCAACUUUAUGAAUUGAAUUAAAGAUAAUCCCAAGCCCCCAAUUGUCUCAAAAAGUGAAAAAGUAAAUGUUAUAGAAAGAAAAGCGGGAAAAACUUUAAGCAUGAAAUAAAAGAUGGGUUGUGAUAAAAGAGGACUGAAGAAGGAAAAGGAAUGAAAGGUUCUGCCAUCCUUCAUGGCAGCCCACUCCACUUGGUAUGAGAUACUGCUCCCUUGGCUGAAAGUUAACUGCUGUACUCCCUCCACUUUCUAUAAAUGACUCCCUGUGCCUUUCCUUCACCACACAACUCACACUCUCUUCCUUCCUAGUGAGUCCACUAAGGCUUCACUGCAUUAUUACAUUUAUUUCAUUUAGGAAAAACUGACUUUAUUUUCCUUCAAAUUGUUUUUUAUUGUUUAUAUGAGCUUGGUUUUAUUGUCAUUCUAUUUUUCUCCAUGAAAAUAGAGAAAAAUAGGGUCGAAAGGUUAGGUUGGGUGGAAAGGAAUUAUAUUUUUUCUCACUAAAAUUGAUGUAAAUAUCGUUUUCAAUUGAAUGAUUUUACACAGUGGCACAGUUUCAGGUAUGUUGCUAAGCAGGAAAGUUGUUAACCAAAGCAUGAAUGUAUUAAGGAGAUGUAUGCAGAAUGACAUGCAAGGUUAUCUAUGAUUGCUGAGUGAGAAAGAGCAAGUUGCUGAGUAUUAUAUAAGUAUGAUCUCACUUUUGUAAAAAAAAAAAAAAAAAAAGGCCUGGACUGAUCUGAAAUGACCCUAUUAAUAACAAUUAUGUCCAGGUCUGUAUUGCAUACUUGUCAUUCAUUACAGGAUCUUGAGACACAAUGCAAAGGAUCACAUCGCAGCUCUGUAACUUGUUAACUAUAAGAUUUUGAGUAACAUAACACCUUACUCCUUAAAAUUGCUUAAAAAAAAUCUGAACAUCAGGAAUAUUCUACUUCACAGGGUCGUUGUGAUAAUUAAAUGUAGUAAUCAAUGACAAUAGUGCCAGAUACAGUAGAUAGCCUACACUUUGCAGCUACUAUUUCUAUCUAUCAUCCAUCUAUUAAUAUAUAUCAUCUAUCUUUAACUUAUCAUCUAUCUUGUUCCAGUUUUUUAAAAUGAACAUGUAUUAACUUUGUAAAAAAUUAAGGCUAUAAGAUGUGCUGAGCUUUUGGAAUAGAUUUUCCUGUACUAUAUAUGACUGCCAGUGGGAGAAUUUGAAUAAAUGUGUAAAUUUGACUA